Molecule: unclassified non-coding RNA, 348 nt
Filed under: soil metagenome
Description: partial contains 5.8S ribosomal RNA, internal transcribed spacer 2, and large subunit ribosomal RNA
Rfam family: 5.8S ribosomal RNA (bases 1-120)
Source: RNAcentral
GAUGAAGAACGCAGCGAAAUGCGAUAAGUAAUGUGAAUUGCAGAAUUCAGUGAAUCAUCGAGUCUUUGAACGCACAUUGCGCCCCCUGGUAUUCCGGGGGGCAUGCCUGUCCGAGCGUCAUUGCUGCCCUCAAGCACGGCUUGUGUGUUGGGCCCCCGCCCCCCGGUCCCGGGGGGCGGGCCCGAAAGGCAGCGGCGGCACCGCGUCCGGUCCUCGAGCGUAUGGGGCUUUGUCACCCGCUCUGUAGGCCCGGCCGGCGCCCGCCGGCGACCCCAAUCAAUCUUUUUCAGGUUGACCUCGGAUCAGGUAGGGAUACCCGCUGAACUUAAGCAUAUCAAUAGCGGAGGA